GGACAAGUAGCUCAAUAGGCAGAGCUUCUGAUGUUGGAAAAGAGUAGUCCAGCGAAACUCUUUGAUGUCAGUUCGAAUCUGACCUUGUCCA
This 91-nucleotide transfer RNA is filed under the name Bacillota bacterium. Its description in RNAcentral is "tRNA-OTHER". It matches the Rfam family "tRNA". Rfam says of the family: Transfer RNA (tRNA) molecules are approximately 80 nucleotides in length. Their secondary structure includes four short double-helical elements and three loops (D, anti-codon, and T loops). Lineage: Bacteria; Bacillati; Bacillota. The record is from RNAcentral.